UCGGCAUCAUACAACCACCUGAAAAUAAUCAAACGUCAAUAUUUCUGGAAAACAAUUCGACUGAAGUUAUUAGAUUUCAGCAAAAACAAAAUUGAAAUGAUAGAGGACGGUGCUUUUGAAAAGCUUCCAAAUCUUCAGAAUUUACGUCUAAACAGUAAUAAGAUUAGAGCGAUAAGCAAUGACACUUUCCGCAUGGUUUCAGGAUUGGAAAAAUU
This is a long non-coding RNA of Saccostrea cuccullata (small rock oyster), 215 nucleotides long. RefSeq lists it as uncharacterized. The transcript has 3 exons. Lineage: Eukaryota; Metazoa; Mollusca; Bivalvia; Ostreida; Ostreidae. The record is from RefSeq and is a predicted model, not a curated record.